GACAGGCAAGUUCUAGAAGGUUUCAGCUGAUGCAGCUGGUUUGUAUUCAGGUCCUAAGAUCGUGAACUGGAAGAGAUGAACCCAUCCAUUUUGCUGCCCUGCUGACUAGAUAGCUUCCUCUGGCAGAAAGGCAAUUUGGAUAACUGGAGUGAUAACAUGUUAAAAUAACACAACUAUAUUUCUUCAAGAUGAGUUAUUGGAGAUUGUGUUAUCUUCUUGAAUCACAGAAUUCCAGAAUUGCAGGGGUUGAAGGGACCUCAAGAGAUCCUGUGUGUGAAAAUAGAUCAUACAGGGAAACCUGGAAGGAUGAGAUCUGUCGUUUCAGAACAGGGUGCAGAAAAGGAGAAGAUUUCAAGGCUCUAUAGAGGAGAAACGGAGAUAUGGUGCCAAACUGCUUUCUGGAAAUAAAGCCAAGAUAGAAAGAAAUGUUGAAAUGCCAUCAGAAAUUCCCAGAGAUGACAGUUAGAUACCCAUUCUGUCCAGUCUGGUAGCCAGAAGUUCAACAGAAGUUCAGUAAAAUAUUUGUUGCACCUUUUUUUUUUUUCUUUUCUUUUUUUCCAAUGCUCAGCAUAUAGUCUGAUAAAUCUGUAAACUGCUAUAUGGAGGAGAAGCACAGUAAUUUAGUUUCUAGACCAAUAUUCAGGUACAGACAUUUUAUAUCCAUCUGUUAUCUAAUAGAAAGGAAUUCCCAGCUUACUAGAAUUAAAUU
Molecule: non-coding RNA, 709 nt
Organism: Meleagris gallopavo (turkey)
Lineage: Eukaryota; Metazoa; Chordata; Aves; Galliformes; Phasianidae
Source: RefSeq, a predicted model, not a curated record